RNAcentral lists this ribosomal RNA (416 nucleotides) under uncultured bacterium. RNAcentral describes it as "bacterial SSU rRNA". It matches the Rfam family "Bacterial small subunit ribosomal RNA", at positions 355 to 786 of the family's 1533-position model. The record is from RNAcentral.
UGGGGAAUAUUGGGCAAUGGGGAAACCCUGACCCAGCAACGCCGCGUGAAGGAAGAAGGCUUUCGGGUUGUAAACUUCUUUUACCAGGGACGAAGGACGUGACGGUACCUGGAGAAAAAGCUCCGGCUAACUACGUGCCAGCAGCCGCGGUAAUACGUAGGGAGCGAGCGUUGUCCGGAUUUACUGGGUGUAAAGGGCGUGUAGGCGGAGGAGCAAGUCAGAAGUGAAAUCUCCGGGCUUAACCCGGAAACUGCUUUUGAAACUGUUCCCCUUGAGUACUGGAGAGGCAGGCGGAAUUCCUAGUGUAGCGGUGAAAUGCGUAGAUAUUAGGAGGAACACCAGUGGCGAAGGCGGCCUGCUGGACAGCAACUGACGCUGAGGCGCGAAAGCGUGGGGAGCAAACAGGAUUAGAUACC